GAUGAACGCUGGCGGCGUGCCUAAUACAUGCAAGUCGAGCGAACAGACGAGGAGCUUGCUCCUCUGAUGUUAGCGGCGGACGGGUGAGUAACACGUGGAUAACCUACCUAUAAGACUGGGAUAACUUCGGGAAACCGGAGCUAAUACCGGAUAAUAUAUUGAACCGCAUGGUUCAAUAGUGAAAGACGGUUUUGCUGUCACUUAUAGAUGGAUCCGCGCCGCAUUAGCUAGUUGGUAAGGUAACGGCUUACCAAGGCGACGAUGCGUAGCCGACCUGAGAGGUGGAUCGGCCACACUGGAACUGAGACACGGUCCAGACUCCUACGGGAGGCAGCAGUAGGGAAUCUUCCGCAAUGGGCGAAAGCCUGACGGAGCAACGCCGCGUGAGUGAUGAAGGUCUUCGGAUCGUAAAACUCUGUUAUUAGGGAAGAACAAAUGUGUAAGUAACUAUGCACGUCUUGACGGUACCUAAUCAGAAAGCCACGGCUAACUACGUG
This 497-nucleotide ribosomal RNA is filed under the name uncultured bacterium. Its description in RNAcentral is "partial 16S ribosomal RNA". It matches the Rfam family "Bacterial small subunit ribosomal RNA", at positions 28 to 507 of the family's 1533-position model. The record is from RNAcentral.